RNAcentral lists this ribosomal RNA (468 nucleotides) under uncultured bacterium. Its description in RNAcentral is "partial 16S ribosomal RNA". It matches the Rfam family "Bacterial small subunit ribosomal RNA", at positions 28 to 523 of the family's 1533-position model. The record is from RNAcentral.
GAUGAACGCUGGCGGCGUGCCUAACACAUGCAAGUCGAGCGAUUUACUUCGGUAAAGAGCGGCGGACGGGUGAGUAACGCGUGGGUAACCUGCCCUGUACACACGGAUAACAUACCGAAAGGUAUGCUAAUACGAGAUAAUAUGCUUUUAUCGCAUGGUAGAAGUAUCAAAGCUCCGGCGGUACAGGAUGGACCCGCGUCUGAUUAGCUAGUUGGUAAGGUAACGGCUUACCAAGGCGACGACCAGUAGCCGACCUGAGAGGGUGAUCGGCCACAUUGGAACUGAGACACGGUCCAAACUCCUACGGGAGGCAGCAGUGGGGAAUAUUCCACAAUGGGCGAAAGCCUGAUGGAGCAACGCCGCGUGCAGGAUGAAGGCCUUCGGGUCGUAAACUGCUUUUAUGAGUGAAGAUUAUGACAGUAACUCAAGAAUAAGGGACGGCUAACUACGUGCCAGCCGCCGCAGUAA